Molecule: ribosomal RNA, 253 nt
Filed under: uncultured bacterium
Lineage: Bacteria
Description: partial 16S ribosomal RNA
Rfam family: Bacterial small subunit ribosomal RNA
Source: RNAcentral
UACGUAGGCAGCGAGCGUUGUUCGGAGUUACUGGGCGUAAAGGGUGUGUAGGCGGUUGGUUAAGUUUGGUGUGAAAUCUCCUGGCUCAACUGGAAGGGUGCGCCGGAAACUGGAGUGCUUGAGCGUGGGAGAGGAAAGCGGAAUUCCUGGUGUAGCGGUGAAAUGCGUAGAUAUCAGGAGGAACACCUGUGGUGUAGACGGCUUUCUGGACCAUAGCUGACGCUGAGACACGAAAGCGUGGGUAGCAAACAGG